AAAGGGCUCCCUGGCACUGUUUUACAGAAAGCUUCUCCUGUCUCUGACUGUCAUCUCUUCCAUUGGAAGUAACACCUGUAUCUUGGACCCCUCAAACAGGCCAGAAUUUGCUGCUUACAUGGGCUUCACAAAGUUAUGCUGGAUACUUAAGCCCUCUGGACAAUGUUCAGAAAGGAAUAACAUGUGAGAGGAAGGAAAGAAUUUGAGGGAUGAAUAACUUUAAGGAAAAAUUUGGAUGCCUUACAUUUUCAUUGUGCAGGUCCCCUGAGCAUACCAGUUAGGGCAGUGGCCACCCACUGACCUGGAGUGGGAGGGAGCCCGCCCUGAGCCCUGGUGGGUGGAGCCCUGCCCCACACAACCAUCCUGCCAAAAGUCAGGAGGCGGGAUAGGAAGUAUAAAUAGCAGGCCCAGGAUCUCAUUUAGACCCCAGCUGCUGGAGGAGCCAGAUACCUACCUUGAGCUCCCGAGCUGCAAGCUGCUUCGGUCCUAAAGGAAGUCGAAGAGAGGCCAGGACCUCAGACAGACCCCGACCCAGAGGAGCUGCUGGACGAUUCCCUAAUGACCCAGAAAGCCUGCUAGUGAGUGAGGUCUGCCCCAAGGAGGAGUUAGUAAGUGGCCCAGGGAUAGCCCACCCUGAUCUGGCUGAAACAGUGCCUGUAAAUGAGUCAGCGUGUUGUGGUCAGGAUCCCACUGACCCAAUGGCAGACUGAUCUGCUGCUGUUAGGGCCCUGGGCUAGGAUACAGUGGAACAGGUCAGCCUGUGUCCCACCCCCUGGCCACUCCAACCUGUGGGUGGCGGUCUCUCCCCCACCUGUGUAGGCAAAAUGCGGAGAGCUGACAAGCACAUGGAAGAGCUAGGAGAUCUGACUGUUUGCUACCCUGCUUUGAACUAGGGCCUGAGUAUACUGACAGUCGGCCCUGAAUUAUUGUUGCCCACCCUACAUGAGGACCUGGCUUACUGACUGACUGCUUGGCCUGAGCUCCUUAACUGUUGUUGCAACUGAUUCCCUGUAUGUGUACUGAGGUAGAGUGGCCGACCACUGACUUGGAGGGGGAGGAACCCCCUCGAGCCCUCGUGGGUGGAGGCUGACCCUCCAACCAGACUACAAUACAAGAUCAGUCUUAAUCUGACACCCAGAAAUGUAAUCAUGGUACCUACACUACUUGUGUGCUUCCCUGUUUCAGUUUUCUCUCUUCUUUAUUUAAGAGUAGCUUUCCUGGUGGCCGUAAUUUCAGCCAGAAACUAGCCAUGACAGAUUCAUUUGAGUGCUUUGUUAUAGAAAGAGGAAAAUAAAACUUAGUCUUAGAGAUUCUAAUUUCCCUUAGUAGUUCACAGGCAGAAUGGAAUUUGGUUCUCUGCUUUCAGUCUUACAGCUGAUAUCCCUGCCUUUUGUGUGAGGAGAUCUGAGAAUUAAGGUGGUCUAAAUUAAUGUCCAACCAAUGUGCAAGCAGUAUUGUCAAUCAUAUGGUGGUUUCAUGGAUCACUAUUUGCUUUCACCCUGUGCUUGGAAAAUAACAUAAUAAACAAAACUACUCCUCCCUGUUACUGAAAGUUAAAAUCCAAGCCUCCGAUUAAACCACAUCUUGAAGGAAAUGUUGACCUUUUGGUUACAAGUUCUAAUUACAAACCCUUGUGCACAAAAGAGUAUUUUUUCUGCCUGGCUCCUGAAACUUUUUCAGUAGAGCAGAUAAUUGUUUACUCUUCCAGACAUAAAUGUCUUUGUGUUCUUAGUUCUCAUAAUAGGGGAAAGAACUUCUAAAGUUAAUGAAAGAAAGUUAAUCAUGUUGCGCUUGCCAAGGGAAUCUCAGGUUUUCAUCUGAAUUAGUUUUUUUUUAAAAGAAACCUGCUAAAAACUAUGCAGGUUGAUCCAAGGCUCUACUUGGGUGUAAGUGCAGUAUAUGACCUCUUCAAAUGUCCUGCUUAUUCGGAGGAGUCCCAAGGUAUGUGCUCAGGUAAGUGGAGUAGCAUAGGUACAAUUCUUGUCAAAUUAUACUGGCCAGCUGGAUCAAACUUUGAAUUUCUGUUACCUGAAAGGCAGAGAUGGCAACUCACUAUAUGAACACCUCCUGCCAUACAGACCCCCCUUGCAGAAACUGGUAGGGUGGCAAGUUUGGCAGAUUUAACAGUUUUUAUUAGAGUAGUAUUAGCUGAUGGAUUAUCAUCUUUACAAUGUAGUUCUUCUUUGAGGAGUGUCCCUGUGGAUGCUCCACCUUUGGAGCUCAGAGCCAGAGAUUUGUGACAAGCAUACCCCUGGCUGGCCACGCGUGCAAGAAACCAAUAUGUGCUCUGAGGAGGCUAAUGCGCAUGCGCAGCCGCCCCCCCCCCCAGUCCCUUCUAAACCGCCGCCAGCUAUGGUUGCAGAUCAGCAGUCUCCCCUUCACCUCACUCAGGACUUACUUCUUUGUAAAUAGUUUACUUCAGACAAGAUCAGUUACAGUUUAUAUUCUUUAAAGGUUUAGUUAGUGAAGAAAAUAAAAAGAGAGAGAGAGAAGCGGCAAUCGCUUCACGAUGCUAGCAGCACAUAUCAACCGCACUCUACUACCAUCCGGGAUAUGCUGGGUUCACCUGGAUUCAAGAGGUGUGCAACCUGCAACUUUCUAUUUCACUCUGACAGCCACGAACAGUGUCUCCGCUGGCUUGGGCAGCAGCACGUAUCAGAAAAUUGCCCAUAUUGCCAGAAAUUAACCAACCACUCUAGGAGAGUGAGGGAGUUUCAAUUAAAAAUGCUCCAAAUACAGAACAGCUCUAGACUGCCUACUGACCCUGAUCAAUCCACCCCUCCCAGACAAAGAUCACCCGGGAUGAGGUCAGAAAGAGCAGCUCCCUCCGAGUCGAGCCCUAAGGAAAGGGAGAAAAGUAGCCUUAACGAAAGGUCCUACUCUUCCUCAGGGACUGACUUUCCAUUAAGGAAGUGAUUAGUCCAUACUAAUGCUGAAUGCCAAACACAAAAGGGGUCAGACAAGCAGCAAUCUAAAGGGACCAGAAAGGAGAAGAGCCGAGAUCCCAAACUCACAUAUCGAGUGCCAGACAAAGCGCUGACAGAGGCAAAAAGCAAAGCCUCCUUGUCAGCAGGGAAACUCACGUCAACAGCUGUUGCUUGAAACAAACCACACUCACACAUGGCACCGAGCCAGAGCGCAUUACCUGACACGGGUACCACUGGCACCGCAGAAACACAUGGCACCAAUAGGUCAUUCGUUGCAGCCUCUGUUCCAAUUAAUGUCGCCACAAAUGCCUCCCACCCUCCGUUACCACCAACUGAUGCCUCAGUUCACAAUGGCAGCUGAAUUGACGGUUCACUCGGUACCGGGGACGCCCCUGUUUGUUACCGAUGGUAUCCC
Molecule: non-coding RNA, 3342 nt
Organism: Pelodiscus sinensis (Chinese soft-shelled turtle)
Lineage: Eukaryota; Metazoa; Chordata; Testudines; Trionychidae
Source: RefSeq, a predicted model, not a curated record